GGCAAGAAGUAGAAUAUAAGCAAGUUGAUUGACUAGUAAGGAUGAUUUCUUUCAAAGACAAUGGAUACAAGAUGAUCCUUGUGACUCCACAUUGAAUGAGGUAACAAAAUGAUCUAUGGCUAAAAGCUUACUUGUAGAAAUGAUCUUUAUAAAGAAAUAAAUACAACAUAAAUAGCUGAAAAAUAUGGUAGUUUCAAAUCAUGCCUUAGUAGCAAAAAAAAUAGCCAAAGGAGUAGAAUGGACAGAGCAACUCAUACAAGAAUAUUAGAAUUUUAUUCCAAUUCACUUGCCUAGUGGUGUUGUCAUAUUACAUGAACUCUUGCUUGAGAAUGCACCAACCACCUAGCUAUAGAAAGUAGAAUGGAAAUUGUAACAACAAAAUCUUAAUUUUAAUAGAAUAUUAAAUAAAAUCUAAUUAAAUAUUAACAAAGCUAAGUAAGCUUUAAUCAAAUUCAAAAGAAACCUUAAAAAAAUCACAAAAGAAAUAAUAAAAAAUCUUAAAAGAAUUUAAAAAGAAUCCACAAUAAACAUUAAAAGAAUCUUUAAGAAAUCCUAAAGAAAUAUUAGAAUAAUUAAAAAUAUAUCUUAAAUUAAUCUCAAUCAAGUCCUAAUUUAAUCUUAAUUAAAAUCCUAAUGAAAUUUAAUUAAAUCCUAGGCCAAACUUCAAAUCCUAAACAAAUUUUAAAUCCUAAAUCCUAAGCAAAUCCUAAAUCUUAAAUCCUAAAUUCUAAACCAAAUCCUUAAUUCUAAAUAAAUCUUAAAUCCUAGAUCAAA
Molecule: long non-coding RNA, 774 nt
Filed under: Physcomitrium patens
Lineage: Eukaryota; Viridiplantae; Streptophyta; Bryopsida; Funariales; Funariaceae
Description: long non-coding RNA (PPAT_LNC003640)
Source: RNAcentral